Long non-coding RNA from Malania oleifera, 223 nucleotides. RefSeq lists it as uncharacterized. The transcript has 3 exons. The record is from RefSeq and is a predicted model, not a curated record. Lineage: Eukaryota; Viridiplantae; Streptophyta; Magnoliopsida; Santalales; Ximeniaceae.
CAGGGUAUUGAUUGAGAACGUUGGGAAUCAUCCCUAAGUUAAGGGUAUUGAGUUGAGAACCUUGUGGGUACGGGAAAGAUUUUCUUAGGGGCUUUUCAGGAAUCAGGAGCCCCUGAUAGGAGAGCGGGAAAAGCCCCGCUGAUCUAGAUCAGUUGUUUGCCCUCUUUGGAAGGGUAAGUUUUUGGUAGGGACAGUUAGGUUUUGUGGGAGAUUGUCCCUAAAU